Long non-coding RNA from Eptesicus fuscus (big brown bat), 802 nucleotides. RefSeq lists it as uncharacterized. The record is from RefSeq and is a predicted model, not a curated record. NCBI's taxonomy places the organism in Eukaryota, Metazoa, Chordata, Mammalia, Chiroptera, Vespertilionidae. The transcript is spliced from 4 exons.
UCCAAUGGGUUGGCCAAUGACAUCCUUUCACCAAAAAGACACGCUUGCACUCAGGCUUAUUUACAUCUCUGCAGCUCCACAUCUGGGAAAGGAACUGCUAAACUUGAUUUCACAAGAACUCUCAUGGCUCCCUCAUGGCCCUCUAAACAUCCAUCACCAUCUCCACCACCUCCACUGCACCAUCCCCAUCCAAGCCACCAUCGUUGCUCAUCUGAACUGAGAAAGUUGCCAGAUGGAUGUCCCUACUCCCAUCUUGCCUACCUGCAACCCAUUCCCUCCACAGGAUCCAGGAUGAGGAAACUGAGGCUCAGCGGGGAUGAGCCAGGUUCACAGCCCAGCAGUAAGUCAUGGAGGUGACAGGCAACACCAGGAGUUGCCUCCAGAACUCCAUGGAAUAAAGAAUGCACACGCACACGACUGCUCUAUAAAUGCAAGAAGUCACUGUUUUCAUCUCUGCUCCCAAGGAGGGUGUGCAGGAUGCCAUAAUGGCUGGAGACAGAGGUGAGACCUGUUGAUGUUCCAGGUGAGCUGAGCCUCAGUGCGCCACCGUGACUCAGUGGCACAACUCAGUGGGCACCGAACCUGACUUUAUCAUCCAUCGGUUAUCUGUGUCGCCUGGAAGGAACUCCGGGCAAGGUCCAGGAAAAAGGUGCGGGUAUUGUUGGGGCUUCCUGCUGGCCAGCUCACUGGCCUAUUGUUGCCUUUAUUUUUUUAGACUAUCGCAUCACAAUUAUUUCGGCAACAUCCUUUUCCCAUCCUGGACCUGAUAUAAUAUUUAUUGACUUAUGCAAACUGCGUCAAU